GACCUUGUGGCGCAACGGUAGCGCGUCUGACACCAGAUCAGAAGGUUGCGUGUUCAAAUCACGUCAGGGUCA
This is a non-coding RNA of Danio rerio (zebrafish), 72 nucleotides long. NCBI's taxonomy places the organism in Eukaryota, Metazoa, Chordata, Actinopteri, Cypriniformes, Danionidae. The record is from Rfam.